RNAcentral lists this ribosomal RNA (118 nucleotides) under Olea europaea subsp. europaea. Lineage: Eukaryota; Viridiplantae; Streptophyta; Magnoliopsida; Lamiales; Oleaceae. The record is from RNAcentral.
ACCAACAACCUCGCCACGUUGAAUACACCAGUUCUCGUCAGAUCACUAAAUUUAAGCGACGUCGGGCGUGGUCGGUACUCGGAUGGAUGACCGUCUGGGAGAUCACGUGUUGUUGGUU